RNAcentral lists this long non-coding RNA (1196 nucleotides) under Homo sapiens (human). RNAcentral's name for it is "long intergenic non-protein coding RNA 2362". The record is from RNAcentral. Lineage: Eukaryota; Metazoa; Chordata; Mammalia; Primates; Hominidae.
AUUCUGACUUCCAAAUCUCUUGCAAAUGCAUAUAAUUGGUUGAACCUAAUUCACAGUUAGAACCCCAGCUGCAAGUGAGACUGGAAAAAUGGCUCUCAGAGUUCCCGCCUCUGCAGUAGAGGAAGACACUCCAGAAGGAGUUGAGAAUGGGUGCUGAGUGCCUCUUCAGGAUGUCUGUCACACCUCAGGAAACCUGCCAGGAAUACCAAAGGGAGUGAAAAAUCCAAGGAAUACUUGUCAUUGAAAUUAGGGCCCACCUGGAUAAUCCAUGAUGAUCUCAUCUCAAGAUCCUUAACUUAAUGACAUCUGCAGAGACUGGUUUAUCAAAUAAGGGACUGUGGCUAUAUCGCUGACCUCAAGAAAACCUGCGGACAAAAUCUGCUAAAGAAGUAUCAGCAUCUAUUUCAAAAGUUAGCCAUUAUUUUAAGAAGACUGUGCUGGAAGACGGGUAUUUAACACAAACAGAUGCAAAAGAUACGGGGUUUCACCGUGUUGACCAGACUGAUUUUGAACUUCUGGGCUCAAUCAGUCCACCUGCCUCGGCCUCCCAAAGUGCUGAGAUUAUAGGUGUGAGCCCCUGCGCCUGGCCAGGGAUGCCGUUCUUCACUCUCCAAUUGAGCAGCCAUUAUAUAUCAGGCACUAUAGGAGUUCCUGGAGGAUACUGGUCUGAAGUUAGCAUGAUCUUGACUCAAGAAACUUAUAGUCCUGAUAAGAACUUCCACCAGAAUUCCAGAUGCAGCACAGGCCUUGCUGUUUGCCCAUGCCCAUGCGGUCAGCUCUCUUGGGUACCGUGGCAUGCAGAUGCAGACACUCACCCAAGACACCCUGUAGUGCUGAUUACUGGCUGAAGACACUGAAUAUCUGAUAUAGUUUGGAUGUUUGACCCCUCCAAAUCUCAUGUUGAAACUAGAUUCCCAGUGUUGGAGGUGGGGCCCGGUGGGAGGUGUUUGGAUUGUGGGAUUGGAUCCCUUAUGGCCAUCUUGGUGCCAUCCUUGUGGUAAUGAGCAAGUUCUUUAUCUACUAGUUCCUGAGCGAUCUGGUUGCUAAAAAGAGUCUAGCAGCAUCAUCCGCUCCCUCUCCUCCUCUCUUACCAUGUGAUAUGCACACACCGGCUACCCUUCACCUACUGCUCCAGCACCACGCUUCAUGUACAGCCUGUAGAACUCUGAGCCAAAUAAACCUCUUUUCUUUAUAAA